UCUCUCUGAUUUCUCUGAUUUCUCUGAUUUUUCUCAUUUCUCUAAACCCUAAUCCUCUCAAAUAUCAACUCAAUCUCUCAUGAAUCAUGAUCCUCUCUGUCUAUUGAACCUCUCAUCUACCUAAAUCUCUCAUAUUUUCUGUCGAUUAAAUCCUAUCAUCUUCAACCCUAGCCCUAGCAGUUUCCUAUCAUGUUCCUCUCUAUGGUUCUCAUACUUUCUGUCGAUUGAAGCUCUCAUCUUCCUCUCGAAGGCUUUGUGGUUCUCUCUUCUCUGUCACCUGGUUCGCAGAGCUUUAAUCAAAGGAAGUGAUGGUUGCAUGUUAGGGUUUUGGUUUGCUGAGAUUUAAUCGAUGGAUUUUUAAGGGAUCUGGGUAUUUCUCUGUAAUAGACUGAGAUUUAAGGCUUUGGUGGAAGCUUAUUAAUUUCGAUUGAGUUGUGAGAAAGCUUUGGUGGAAGUUUAUUGAAUUCGGUUGUAAGGUA
Mercurialis annua (annual mercury) is the source of this 479-nucleotide long non-coding RNA. RefSeq lists it as uncharacterized. The record is from RefSeq and is a predicted model, not a curated record. Lineage: Eukaryota; Viridiplantae; Streptophyta; Magnoliopsida; Malpighiales; Euphorbiaceae. The transcript has 4 exons.